AUUCCAGCUCCAAAAGCGUAUAUUAAUAUUGUUGCAGUUAAAAGGCUCGUAGUCGAAUAUCUGGGAUUAUCUAGUGCCUUUGUAUCUAGUAUACACUGAGUUCUACAUAAUUCCAAUUUUUCCAGUAUUUGUGUCUGCUCUUGAUUGAGUUUGGUGCAAAAGCUGGUUCUUUUACUGUGAGUAAAUCAGAGUGUUCAAAGCAGACGAUAGUCUUGAAUGCUACAGCAUGGAAUAAUACUAUAGGACUUUGUUUCUAUUUAUUGACUUCUAGAGAAAAAGUAAUGAUUGAAAGAGGUAGUUGGGGGUGCCAGUAUUUGACGGUAAGCGGUGAAAUGCUCAGACCCGUUAAAGACUAACUAAAGCGAAAGCACUCACUAAAGAUAUUUUCAUCG
RNAcentral lists this ribosomal RNA (392 nucleotides) under Vampyrellida sp. RNAcentral's name for it is "partial small subunit ribosomal RNA". It matches the Rfam family "Eukaryotic small subunit ribosomal RNA", at positions 582 to 975 of the family's 1831-position model. Lineage: Eukaryota; Endomyxa; Vampyrellida. The record is from RNAcentral.